RNAcentral lists this transfer RNA (63 nucleotides) under Climacostomum virens. Lineage: Eukaryota; Ciliophora; Heterotrichea; Heterotrichida; Climacostomidae. The record is from RNAcentral.
GCACUAGCACUCGGUUUUGAGCACGAACUACUUCUGCCUUUUCAGUCCCGUAGUAGUUAGUGU